CAUGUCCUUUUGAUUUUGAUUUAAGGUCUGAUCUGCUCAAUGAUAAUUUAAAUUGCCGCAGUAUUUUGACUGUGCAAAGGUAGCAUAAUAAUUAGCUUCUUAAUUAGAAGCUGGAAUGAAUGAUUGGACAAGAAAAUUUCUGUCUCUAUUUAAUUGUUUGUUGAAUUUUAUUUUUAAGUUAAAAAGCUUAAAUGUGUGUAAAAGACGAGAAGACCCUAUAGAGUUUGAUAUUUCAAUUUUAUUUUAUAAUAGAAUUUUUUUUUGAGUUUGAGGUAUUUAAUUGGGGUGAUUUAAAGAUUUAAAUAAUUCUUUAAUUUUUUUAUUGAUGAUAAUUAAAUUUUAAGCCUAUAAUUUUAAGUUUAAUAUAAAUUACCUUAGGGAUAACAGCGUAAUUUUUCUUUAAAGUUCUUAUUAAAAGAAGAUUUUGCGACCUCGAUGUUGGAUUAAAAUUAAUUUUUGGUGCAGUAACUUAAAAAUUAGGUCUGUUCGACCUUUAAAAUUUUACAUGAUCUGAGUUUAAACCGGUGUAAGCCAGGUUGGAUUCUAUCUUUAAAUUAUUAAUAUAUUUUAGUACGAAAGGACCAAAUAUGUAUUAGAUUA
RNAcentral lists this ribosomal RNA (600 nucleotides) under Lycini sp. UPOL LF0430. RNAcentral's name for it is "partial 16S large subunit ribosomal RNA". It matches the Rfam family "Bacterial large subunit ribosomal RNA", at positions 1816 to 2710 of the family's 2925-position model. The record is from RNAcentral. Lineage: Eukaryota; Metazoa; Arthropoda; Insecta; Coleoptera; Lycidae.